This 441-nucleotide ribosomal RNA is filed under the name uncultured bacterium. RNAcentral's name for it is "partial 16S ribosomal RNA". It matches the Rfam family "Bacterial small subunit ribosomal RNA", at positions 338 to 795 of the family's 1533-position model. The record is from RNAcentral.
CCUACGGGAGGCAGCAGUGGGGGAUAUGGCACAAUGGGGGCAACCCUGAUGCAGCGAGGAAGCGUGAGCGAUGGAGUACUGCGGUAUGUAAAGCUCUGUCAGCAGGGAAGAGAAUGACGGUACCUGACCAAGAAGCCCCGGCUAAAUACGUGCCAGCAGCCGCGGUAAUACGUAUGGGGCAAGCGUUAUCCGGAUUUACUGGGUGUAAAGGGAGCGUAGGCGGCAGGGCAAGCCUGAUGUGAAAGCCCGGGGCUCAACCCCGGGACUGCAUUGGGAACUGCCCCGCUCGAGUGCCGGAGGGGCAGGCGGAAUUCCUAGUGUAGCGGUGAAAUGCGUAGAUAUUAGGAGGAACACCAGUGGCGAAGGCGGCCUGCUGGACGGUGUACUGACGCUGAGGCUCGAAAGCGUGGGGAGCAAACAGGAUUAGAUACCCCGGUAGUC